GCGAACGCUGGCGGCAGGCCUAACACAUGCAAGUCGAACGAACCUUUCGGGGUUAGUGGCGGACGGGUGAGUAACACGUGGGAACGUGCCUUUAGGUUCGGAAUAACUCAGGGAAACUUGUGCUAAUACCGAAUGUGCCCUUCGGGGGAAAGAUUUAUCGCCUUUAGAGCGGCCCGCGUCUGAUUAGCUAGUUGGUUGAGGUAAUGGCUCACCAAGGCGACGAUCAGUAGCUGGUCUGAGAGGAUGAUCAGCCACAUUGGGACUGAGACACGGCCCAAACUCCUACGGGAGGCAGCAGUGGGGAAUCUUGCGCAAUGGGUGAAAGCCUGACGCAGCCAUGCCGCGUGAAUGAUGAAGGUCUUAGGAUUGUAAAAUUCUUUCACCGGGGACGAUAAUGACGGUACCCGGAGAAGAAGCCCCGGCUAACUUCGUG
Molecule: ribosomal RNA, 433 nt
Filed under: uncultured bacterium
Lineage: Bacteria
Description: partial 16S ribosomal RNA
Rfam family: Bacterial small subunit ribosomal RNA
Source: RNAcentral